Molecule: ribosomal RNA, 2835 nt
Filed under: Lecanora cinereofusca
Lineage: Eukaryota; Fungi; Ascomycota; Lecanoromycetes; Lecanorales; Lecanoraceae
Description: large subunit ribosomal RNA
Rfam family: Bacterial large subunit ribosomal RNA
Source: RNAcentral
GUGCAUAUCUGUUUGAACAAAAGGGGAACCUUCCUCUAAGACUAAAUAUGAUAUAUAUGCGAUAGUGAAUAGUACCGUGAGGGAAAUGAUUUAAAUAGCAAUUUUAUAAGCAGCUCAAGAAAUGUUUAAGUAAGCAAGGAGAGCGUACCUUUUGCAUAAUGGGUCAGCAAGUUAAUAUUUGAUGCGAGCGCUAAUGCGUAGAUAAAACAAUUAUGAUAUAAUGAUGUAGUAUCAAAGAUUAGACCCGAAACUUAGUGAUCUUACCAUGAUCAGGAUUAUAAAAGUCCGAACGGGUUAUCGUUGUAAAGAUAUCCGAAGAAUUGUGGUAAGUUAGUGAAAGACAAUACUGACUAAGAUAGCUGGUUUUCCGCGAAACCUAUAUAAGUAGGUAAUUUAAAUAGAAUAUCAGAAGGUACAGAAUUGUGAUCUCAUACAACUAGUAUUUUUUUUUUCAGCUAUAAAAUGUUUAAGGAAAAAACGCUUUUUGUGGACAUUGGGGGGUCGUGAAGACUUUAUCAGUGAGUAUUUGUUCUCGGAAGGGCUAGAUAUGAAUAUUGAAUAAUCGGACAUAGUACGAUAAGGUUGUAUGUCUAAAGGGAAACAGCCCAGAACAAGAGUUAAUAAGGUUCCAAAAUUUUUGUUAAGUGAAAUUAAGGAAGUAUUUGUCCCAUCCGGCCAGGUAAUAGGCUUAGAAGCGGCCAUUUUUUGAAGAUCUCGUAACAGAGCACUGGUUUUUAUAUAAUAAUAUGGAUAAAAGCACCAAAAAUUUAACGGAUCUAAACAAUUUACCGAAACCUUGUCCAUAUGUAAAAAUAUAGAUUGUAUAUUGUACAAAUGGGGUAGCGGAACAUUGGGCAGGUUUUAGAUUAUUCCUUUAUAAGGACUAAAAUUAAACAGUUCAAGUGAAAAUGCUGACAUGAGUAACGAUAAAGGGUGUUACCCUCGCCUAAAGCUUAUGGAAUUUAGAUAAAGUUACGGCCUCUAAGUUUGUUAUGUUUAUAUGUGUAAAAUCUAAUUUUUACAAAAAAACCCAAAAGGGAUAGACGAUGAGCAAAUCUAGCUUUUACAGAAAAUAACAUUUUUAGACAUAUCUCUUUAGAUAUUAGUGACAAAUGUUCCGGAAAACUGUAAACAUUGCACCUUAGGUAAAUAUAAACCUGAGGUGCGAUAUUACCGUACCUAAAUACUAACACAAGUAAGCAAGUAGAGUAUACGAAGGCGUUCGAGUGAACAAUCAUUAAGGAACUCGGCAAAUUGACUCACGUAACUUCGGGAUAAGGUGGGCCAUUCCUCUUGAUUAAUAUCAGGUAGGAAGAGGAGGCACAGAAUGGUGUUGUACGACUGUUUAAUUAAAACAAAGCACGCUGCAAAGAAAUGAAUUCGAAGUAUUGAGUGUGAUCUCUGCCCGAUGGCGGCUGGCUAUCGGAUUUUCUUAGUUAAAUAACAUAAGCUAGGUUUUGAAGGAACCCCCGUUCAAUGGCGGCCUUACCUAUAAGGGUCCUAAGGUAGCGGAAUACCCUGGCCGUUAAAUGCGGUCUUGCAUGAAUGAUGUAACGAUACAACAGCUGUCUCAAUGAUUGGCUCGGUGAAAUUGGAAUAACUGUGCAGAUACAGUUUACCUCUAGUUAGACGAGAAGACCCUAUGCAGCUUUACUGUUGCUAGUUACUGAGUAUGAUAGAAUGAGUCGUAGUGUAUAAGGUAAUCGCUAAGAUAGAAUUGAAACACCUUUACUUCAUUUAUCAUAUUAUAUAAACCCUACCAGGAGAUAGGUCUAUAAGUGGCCAUUCUUUUAAGAUUUCGUGCUAAUAUUUAUGACAUGAGCACUGGUUGUAAAAAAUUUAUAGGAACAAUUGCUAGGUGGCAGUUUAUGCGGGGCACAGAUCCCAUAAAAAGUACCUGCAAGUUUAACGGCUUAAUCCUGCUUUACUGUUUGACUUACACGUCUAUCAGUCGCGUAAGCGGGGCAUAUGAUCACAAGAUGCAUAAAGGAAAGGUUUUGGAUUAUUGAAAAAGUUACGCUAGGGAUAACAGGCUAAUUGCGCCAGAGAGUUCAAAUUGAGUGCGCAGUUUGGCACCUCGAUGUCGGCUUAGCUCAUCCACAUGAAUGCAGGAGACAUGAAGGGUAGGACUGUUCGUCCAUUAAAGAGCUACACGAGCUGGGUUAAAUACGUCGUGAGACAGUAUGGUUUCUAUCUUCUAGAGGAAAUUAGAAUAAAAUAAGGAUAGCCCCUUGUACGUAAGGAGUUGGGUAUAUUAACCUAUGGUUUACCUGUUGUUUAUCUACCUAUAUUAAUAUAGUUACUAUGACUUAUAAGUUUAUAACUAAGGGCGCAAUCCCCAAAAGUUCCAUGGCUUAUACUGGGAUGUUAUUUUUCACUAAAAUAAUGUUUAGGUAUAAAAAAACUAAAAUAGAUGAUAUACCUAGUCCAGGAUAGGCACGGCAGGAAAGCUAUGUUAGUUAAAGAUAAGUGCUGAAUGCAUCUAGGCACGAAACAUACCUUAAGAUAUUCUUAAAUAUAUGUAGUAUAAUACUACGAUUUUAGGUCUUUAUAUAUUUUUUUUUACUAUAUUGUAACUUAAUUUACGAUAGGGUAGAUAACAAAUGUUAUAUGACUUUAAUUAAUAGGCUUUGGCUUAAAGAAUUGUGACAUUUUUAGGCACAAAGUACUAAUUUUAUAAUUUACUAAAUAAUACGCUUAUCUUUACACUGUAUACUAUAAAAAACAUGUCUACAAAAGAUAUGUAACUAAGUUAUAGCUUUAAGCCUGGUUAGCAUAAAAGUAAUGUUACCGUUUUGUAAUCGGUAGAAGCAAGUGCGAUACUUGCACUGGGCU